CCUACGGGAGGCAGCAGUGGGGGAUAUUGCACAAUGGAGGAAACCCUGAUGCAGCGACGCCGCGUGUGGGAAGACGGUCCUCUGGAUUGUAAACCACUGUCCCCAGGGACGAAAAUGACGGUACCUGGGGAGGAAGCUCCGGCUAACUACGUGCCAGCAGCCGCGGUAAUACGUAGGGAGCGAGCGUUGUCCGGAAUUACUGGGUGUAAAGGGAGCGUAGGCGGGGAUGCAAGUUGGGUGUCAAAACUACCGGCUCAACUGGUAGUCGCACUCAAAACUGCAGCUCUUGAGUGAAGUAGAGGCAGGCGGAAUUCCUAGUGUAGCGGUGAAAUGCGUAGAUAUACGGAGGAACACCAGUGGCGAAGGCGGCCUGCUGGACAUUAACUGACGCUGAGGCGCGAAAGCGUGGGGAGCAAACAGGAUUAGAUACCCGAGUAGUC
RNAcentral lists this ribosomal RNA (440 nucleotides) under uncultured bacterium. RNAcentral's name for it is "partial 16S ribosomal RNA". It matches the Rfam family "Bacterial small subunit ribosomal RNA", at positions 338 to 795 of the family's 1533-position model. The record is from RNAcentral.